GUUACCCAUACCUCACCAUGCUUCCAUCUCUCGCUUGUUGCCUCAAAACUUCCCUUGUUCUAUUUCUCCUCCACAACCCGCCAUGCGUCACCUCCAGACGAACACCGGGCUUUGCACUGUCGCCACCAAUGGAAACAACCAUCCAAGACAACAACAACUACACGUGGCACAAUUUCAAAACCUUCCUCAAUGCCAGGAAGGGCAGCCACGUUAGCGGCAUGUCCGAGCUCAAAAGA
Molecule: unclassified non-coding RNA, 236 nt
Filed under: Hevea brasiliensis (rubber tree)
Lineage: Eukaryota; Viridiplantae; Streptophyta; Magnoliopsida; Malpighiales; Euphorbiaceae
Source: RNAcentral